AUGAACGCUGGCGGCGUGCCUAAUCCAUGCAAGUCGAGCGAACGGACGAGAAGCUUGCUUUUCUGAUGUUAGCGGCGGACGGGUGAGUAACACGUGGAUAACCUACCUAUAAGACUGGGAUAACUUCGGGAAACCGGAGCUAAUACCGGAUAAUAUUUUGAACCGCAUGGUUCAAAAGUGAAAGACGGUCUUGCUGUCACUUAUAGAUGGAUCCGCGCUGCAUUAGCUAGUUGGUAAGGUAACGGCUUACCAAGGCAACGAUGCAUAGCCGACCUGAGAGGGUGAUCGGCCACACUGGAACUGAGACACGGUCCAGACUCCUAAGGGAGGCAGCAGUAGGGAAUCUUCCGCAAUGGGCGAAAGCCUGACGGAGCAACGCCGCGUGAGUGGUGAAGGUCUUCGGAUCGUAAAACUCUGUUAUUAGGGAAGAACAUAUGUGUAAGUAACUGUGCACAUCUUGACGGUACCUAAUCAGAAAGCCACGGCUAACUACGUG
Molecule: ribosomal RNA, 496 nt
Filed under: uncultured bacterium
Lineage: Bacteria
Description: partial 16S ribosomal RNA
Rfam family: Bacterial small subunit ribosomal RNA
Source: RNAcentral